AUACGUAGGUGACAAGCGUUAUCCGGAUUUACUGGGCGUAAAGGGCGUGUAGGCGGUCUUGCAAGUCAGAAGUGAAAUUCCUGAGCUCAACUCGGGCGCUGCUUCUGAAACUGCAGGACUUGAGUGCUGGAGGGGAUAGCGGAAUUCCUAGUGGAGCGGUAAAAUGCGCAGAUAUUAGGAAGAACACCGGUGGCGAAGGCGGCUAUCUGGACAGUAACUGACGCUGGGGCGCGAAAGCGCGUGGAGCAAAAAGGAUUAGAUCCCCUGGUAGUCCACGCCGUAAACGAUGAAUACUAGGUGUAGGGGGUAUCGACUCCCUCUGUGCCGCAGUUAACACAAUAAGUAUUCCGCCUGGGGAGUACGGCCGCAAGGUUGAAACUUAAAGGAAUUGACGGGG
Molecule: ribosomal RNA, 397 nt
Filed under: uncultured bacterium
Lineage: Bacteria
Description: partial 16S ribosomal RNA
Rfam family: Bacterial small subunit ribosomal RNA
Source: RNAcentral